RNAcentral lists this ribosomal RNA (275 nucleotides) under Mantidactylus opiparis. RNAcentral's name for it is "partial 16S ribosomal RNA". Lineage: Eukaryota; Metazoa; Chordata; Amphibia; Anura; Mantellidae. The record is from RNAcentral.
CCUAUAAGACGAAAAGACCCCAUGGAGCUUCAAACCCAACUACACCCUUAACUACCACAACCGCACAACCUCUUAGGGCCCUGUAUAGUUGGUUUUAGGUUGGGGCGACCACGGAGUACAACCAAACCUCCGCAAUGGACGGGACCACUCCCUUAUCUAAGAGCCACACCUCUAAGAAUUAAAACACUAACAUAAAAUGAUCCAUGAUCUGAUCAAUGAACCAAGUUACCCUGGGGAUAACAGCGCAAUCCAUUUCAAGAGCCCUUAUCGACAAG